This 8788-nucleotide long non-coding RNA is filed under the name Marmota monax (woodchuck). The record is from RNAcentral. Lineage: Eukaryota; Metazoa; Chordata; Mammalia; Rodentia; Sciuridae.
UGUGUCUUCACUCAUCUGAGGAUUAAUGUCCUGAUUGUUUCUACACAGGAAGUUUCCCAUUUGGUCUGGCUGAGAGGCAGCUCCAAAAUGAACCAUGCAGUGGCAGUCUUCCGGUCUCACCGAGCCUCCCUCCCCUGCUCCUAAAUCACCUCGCUCCCCAGUCGCUGCAAAUGCUUCUCACGUGCUGACAGUUCACACGGUUCAAGACAAGAGUCCGGGUUGGAGCCGGAACCAAGCAGUACAGGGGGGAGGCAAGUGAGAUGGUCGUUAAGUGACAGGGACAGGAGGUGCAACUGCCUGCUCUUCCCAGCCCUUUCUCAUCUGGUCCUGUUGAUGUGUCCCCUGCAGUGGUUUACCUCAGGCAAGUCAUGUGAACUCUGCAAACCUUAGUUUCUUUCUUUUUUCUUUCCUUCUAUAUUUUCCUCCCUUUUCUUCUCUCCCCCCUCUUUUUCUUCCUCCCUCCCUCCCUUCCUCCCUCUUUCCUUCCCUCCUUUCUUUCUUCCUUUCAUCUUAUUUAUUUUUAAUACCAGAGAUUAAACCCAGGGAGCUUUACCACUGCGCUACAUCCCCAGCACCCCUCUCCUUUUUUUUUACUUUAAGAAAAGAUCUUCGGCUGGAGCUGAGGCUCAGUGGUAGAGUGCUUGUCUUGUGUGUGUGUCUCUCUGGGUUUGAUCCUCAGCACCACAUAAAUAAAAUAAAAGUAUUACGUCCACCUACAACUAAAAAAUUUUUUUAAAAAAAGAAAGAAAGAAAAGGUCUCAUUAAGUUUUUGAGGCUGGCUUUGAACUUACAAUCCUCCUGUCUUAGCUUCCUGAUUUUCUGGGAUUACAGGCAUGAGCCAGCCAUAUAAAAAGCAGGCUUAGUACUGCCUACCUUAGAGAAGAUUAAUGAAUUAUUUAGAAAAAGCUCCUAAUAUAGUACCAAGCACACAAGAAAUGCUUUGAAUGAUAGUAAUAGCAAAUGCUUAUAUUGUACCUCCUGCUUGCCAUGAGUGAUUUUAAGCACUUAAUAUAUUUAAUCAAUUCAAUCCUCACAACCCUGUUAGGCAGCCUCCACUAUUAUCCCCAUUUUAUAGAAGAGGAAACUAAGGCACAGAAAGAUUCUGGAAAUUUUCAAACAUCACAGAGAGCUGGUACAGCUGGAAUUCAAACUAAGGCCCCAAGAUAUCUAGGAACAACAGUUAACCAUUAAAUGCUGCCACAUAGCAGCCUCACCUGUAGUAAGCUAGAGGUGGAGGAGGCUUCCCUUACUGAAAUGGGCUUCGUGCACCAUAAUUCGGAACUGAAAAGAGGUCACCUAACUGCUAAUUUUACAUUUGAAGAAAACAAGUGGAGGGACAUGACCGGGCCAGGGUCACACGGCUCCUGCUGGGUGCUUUGCCUUGCGCUGUUUCCACCACACCUCUCUUUGCCCCAGGAAGGCUGCCUCUGGAAGCCAGGGAGGAAUUAAGGACACAAAAGCACAUUUGAAGAAUCCACUGCCAUGCACAGCAAUUGCUUCAAAAUGAGAAGGUCUCACUUUGUCCAGAGGAAGAUCUAUUUAUGUGAGCCUCCACUCCCUCCUGAAUUCAGGCAGCCGCAAGUCCAGUGAAGAGGGAGCAAUUGUAUGAAUCGCACCCCACCCUGCACUCCCCAAACACACCUAGUACCUGCCACAUUCCCACCAAGGGAUAGUUGCUCAUGUUGUUCCUGAGCCUGAAUCUCCCAUCCCUGUCCCUACCUAAUGCCUAAAGAAGCUCUCCUUAGGUUUCAGGGGACAUCUGGAAAGCUGCUCUCUCGGUGAAGUUUCCAGAACCUUCCGGGCCAGAUGGAUUUUCUGAACUCCAGAGAUGGGAAGUUCCAGCCCUGUAUCAGCCAGGCCUAGGUUUGUGUUCUCCAUUCACACAGGUCUGGAUCUGUGACCUUUGGCCACUACCUACAUCAUCUCCCUGUCUCCAUUUCACUACUUCUCAAAGGAAAUAAUAAUAAUCCCUUUCUUAUGGGCUUAUAAAUAAAGAUUCACAUAUAUACAGAAAGAAUUUAGCACAGGGCCUAGAGCUCAAAAAAUGAGACACACAAUGGCUUCCAAAGGUGUCUUAUUGCCACAUGCUGUUUUGCUAGUUGCUUGGGUUUGCAUCUUAUCUCCCCCACUAAGAUAUCUCUCUUUGUCAAGUUCAUUUUUCCAUUCCUGUGGCACCUGAGCCCCUACAGUCUGUACUCUGUGAGGGUGCGCUAAAUCAAAGUGAACUAGAAACAAAAAAGAUGAGUUAAUUAUAGCAAAGAGCAAAAGGCUAUAGUUUUAUUGGAAGCCUAUGAUGAUUGUCUUUAUCCAUAGACUUCCCAGAUUCUGAGAGGCAAAGAAGAAUGGAAUAUCACUCUCCAUUCUCAUUACUAGUGUGAUUAGAGAUUAGGCUGAGAAAAAUCAAUAAUAAUAAUAAUAACCUCUACCUAUUGAGGACUUCAAAUAAUCCAUAUCAGUCUCGGGUACUCUUUACUUCAUUUAUUGCUUACUAAAAUCCUAUGAGGUAAACAUUCUUACCCCCAUGUAGGGAUCGGACAACUGAGGUUCAAGAUCAAGUCACCCAUCAGAGGUCAGAUGCCAAACAUGUGGCCAAGCUAGGAUUUAAGCCCAGGUCUGUCUGACUCCCAAGUCCACGCUGUGUGCUAGAGUCUAUAAACUACCUUCUGCAUGCUGACCUGGGCCUAAUUUUGUAUGUCCAUCAAACUAAGAUGGGGUUUAUAUUUUUAAUUGUUGAAAAAUGGUUAAUAUUUUACACCACUUGAAUAUUGUAUGAAAUGCAAAUUUUAGUGUCCAUAAAGUUUCAUCAGGACUCAGCUACAUCUGCUUCUUUCUACAACGUCUGGCUGUUUUUGUGCUUGAACAGACAAGACAGUGUGUUUGCAGGAGAGACUGCAUGUCCAUCAAUGCCUGAAAUAUGUACUUUCUAGUUUUUUACAGAAAAGUUUCCUGACCCCAGCUCCAUGUCAUGCUGUCUUACAGAUAAACUUACUGCCAAGAAAACGACCUUUUUCAUAAAAAGUCAUGCUUCAAAAAGGGCAUCCUUCCCUGCAGCAAUAAAAGUUGGGGUUUGGAUUCUGACUUGAUGCAUGCCUAGCCAGCCCUGAUUCUUGUUGUCACCCAGCUCCUGAUGGGAUUUGGAAGGCAGAGCCACUAGCCUCCAAGAGGCAGGGACGACAGGCCAGAGCAAGCCUGGAAGCAAAGGGUAAGGGAUUUAGACAGAGAAGCCAGCUUGGUUUCAUGAAUUCCUUUGCCCCCAGGAUUCAUGGUUUCCUGCCACAUCUUGUUCAGCUGUGGAUGUGUCCAGGCCCAGACAGGGCGGGCAGGCUGGAAACAAUGAAAGCAUGGAGGUGCCAGGCCCCAUGAUCCUGUAUUCAGCCUCCACCCUGACCAUGGGCAGAGGCCCAGCUCCGCAAAUCUGACCCCACACCUACCUGCCUGAGACCUCAGUCUUCUCGUACAUAAAAUGAGAGGUUGGCUGGGCUACUCUGGGCCAUCUGCCUCCUGCACCUGGCACCUGCCUUCUGCCUGGAGCAGGCUUUCUCUUUUUGCUUCAUAUACUCCCAGGCCAGUGUCUGCCUGUGGGGGAAUUCCAAAGGGCAGAUUUUGCUUUGUGGCAUUCCUUCAUCCAGGGAGUGCUUUUGAGCACCUGCUGUGUCCAGCUUUGUAAAGAUACUAAACAAGCAAAAGCAAUGGCACUUCCUAUUUGUUUCCAGGUCCAAGCUGUGCAGGUGAGGAGCUACAGAAGCAUCCCAGCUCUCAGAUUCCUUGAACAAACUCUGAGCACAGGUUACAGACUUGGCACGCUCCAGGUGCCUUCGUCUCCAUACUUUUGCUUUAGCUACAGACCAGGCCUGUGACCCAGACCCAUUUUUCAGAUGAGAAAAUUGACUCUGAGAAGUUGCCUACAGAUCAAAUGGCUAUUAAGGGUGGAGCUAGGCUUCAAUGCAGGUCUCACUUAUUCCAAAACCUGUGCAUCUUUGAAAAACUGGGAUGCCCCCUCCACCAGGGUGUCAUUGGGUACCUAUGUAGGUACAGGAUAGAGAUGUUAAAAUAAAUUUAUUGAGGGGGGGGGGAAAUUAUUUAAGCCUUUAACACAACAGAAAGAGCACAUAUCAGCAAUCAAACUUGUUCUAGAACAAACUAUUUUAAUCACUGCAUGAUUUUUUUCUUCCCUAGGUCUCAGUUUUUCCGUCCAUAAAACUGGAAUGAAGAAGCUGGAUAAAGCAAUCUCAAAGCAUCACCUACUUCCCUUGCUUCUCCCUGUACCUGCUGCACAGGUGCUAUGCUUGGUUACAGGAUUCAUAGUUCAGCUCUGGUUCUGAAUCAUAAAACUCAACCCAGUGGAUUCUAUCAGAAAAUUUAAGGAGGGUGGGGGGGCAGGCCCUAAUAAAACUCAAUGGUUAGGCUAUGUGGAUUCAAACAUCAAAACUGUUUCAGGAAAAGAUGAAGACAAAGAUGCUACGUAGAUGCUGUCUUUCCUAUUUUAUUCCAUCCUGCUUGAUGUUUAUGGAAUUCUCUUUCCAAAAGUAUCUUAGGUUUCUGUUGCAUUUGAGUUUUCAGAAUUUCCCCAGGCAGGGUCAUCGAAGAACCUGGGGAACAGGUGGCAGAAAGAAGAGAGAGGCCCUAAGGAUGGGAGGGAUUUAGGCAAAGUGUGAGCAAAGAUUUAAAUAAAAAAGUAAAAAAAAAAAAUUGGGGGAAACAGUGAGGUUAUCAGUUGUUUUUGAUGGAAAUUAUCAGGAAGUUAAGGAGAGAUUAGAAAUAUGGGUAUCCUGAGUGCUAUUAGCAAAUUAAAAAUGUGAUUUGACACCCCAAUAGCAACAAGUACACUGACCACUCAGAUCUUGGUUUCUAAUACCUUUGUCCUAUAAAAGAAGUAUAAUUCCCUGAAGAAAUGCCUGAUUGUAGUAAGACUGUGGCAAAUAUUCAAUAAUCCUGAAGCAUCUUGUAAUGCCAGAAAGUAAUGAAGUGCUCAAUAUAGAAUAAAUAAAUAAAACCUAGAAGCCAGGCACUGUGGCACAUACCUGUAAUCCCAACAGCUCAGGAGGCUGAGGCAGGAGGAUUGUGAGUUCAAAGCCAGCCUCAGCAAAAGCGAGGUGCUAAGCACCUCAGUGAGACCUUGUCUCUAAAUAAAAGAAAAAAACGGGGGGCUGGGGAUGUGGCUCAGUGGUCAAGUGCCUCUGAGUAAUUAAAUUAAAUUAAAUCUAUAAUGAUGGGAGAAUGUCAAAGGGAAAUAUGAACCAACUGAAAGAGACUCCAAUGGACAAAGCUGGAAAAUUUUGAUCAGUAAAAUAAAGUAGUACAUAUAAAACAAAUAUCCAAAAAUCCACACUGAUAUAAAUAUAUGAAAAAAUAAAUCUCUCAUUUAUCUCUUAUAGGAGAAUCCCAAGUAACUUAUAUGGAUACUCUGCCCCCAGAAGAGGGAGCAUAACUCCUUAAGGGUGGCCUGUGAAGAAUGACCUCCCUCCAAAGAAGAAAGCAUGGAAAGAGAGCAAAGGGGAUUGCAUGGUGAAGAAUCCUGACAAGCACUCUCUCAGCCAGGUGAUCAAGGUCAACAUCGAUAGCAAUUGCUCACUUGCUCUGAGGUUAUAAAAAUAGCACUUAAACUCUGUGGUCUUCCUGUCCUAGAACCCAGAACCCCAAUCUACUCAUGAAACUAAACAUCAGACAAAUUCCAAAAGUGGGAUCUUCUACAAAAUACCUGACCAGUGCUCCUUAGAACUGUCAAGGUCAUCAUGACCAUUAUGAUAUAUCUUUUGUUUUCUGUUUGUGGUUCUUGGCUCAUAACUCCCUCUUAAGGGCAGGCCACAGAAACUAAACUUCUCUUCCCCAAGGCAGGUUUCAAAAAUCCUAAUCUUCACCUGACCAUAAAGAAAUUCUCCAGCAGGGCACGGUAACACAUGCCUGUAAUCCCAGCGGCUCAGGAGGCUGAGACAGGAGGAUUGCAAGUUCAAAGCCAGCCUCAGCAACAUCGAGGUGCUAAGUAACUCAGUGAGACCCUGUCUCUAAAUAAAAUACAAAAUAGGGCUGGAGAUGUGGCUCAGUGGUCGAGUGCCCCUGAGUUCAAUCCCUGGCGUGGAAAAAAAAGAAAAAGAAAUUCUCUGACCUACCAUACCUGAUUAAGUAAGUCAUAAGACCCUCAUUUCAGAAAGGAUCCUGCCCCAUACCCCAGAGAAAGGGAUGCCGCACAGAGAAGCCAAGAAAAUCUGAAUCGGUGGGGUUUCUCCAGUCAGUCUAUUAGCAUUACAUUACACCCUUUGUGUCCAAUCACAUUUAUUUAUUUAUUUAUUUCUCUCUGUGUGUGCUUGUGGUACUGGGAAUUGAACCCAGGAUACUUUACCACUCACUAUAUCCGGGCCCUUUUCAUAUUUAUCUUAAGACAGGGUCUUACUAUGUUGCCUAGACAGGCCUCAAACUUGAGAUUCUCCUGCUUCAGCCUCCUGAAUAGCUAGGAUUAUAAACAAGGGCCACCAUGCCCAGUUCCAAUCACAUCUCUACAGGGUUGUCUGUGUUUUGAUCAUGGUUAUGCGAUGAAGACUACAUAAAACCCCCCAAAGAUAGGGUUCAGAUAAUUUCCAGAGAGCGGAAGGAUCCUGGAGGGUGGGUGUGCCCAGAGAGUAGAGAACCUCCACACCCCUUCCCCCAUUCCUUACCCUAUGCAUCUCUUCAUCUGUGUUCUUUGUAAUAAACUGGUAAAUGUGUUUCUCUAAGUUCUGUGAGCUACUCCACCAAACUUAAAAAUUCCGAGGAGGGGGUUGUGAGAACGCUAGUUUAUAGUUGAUUAGCCAGAAGAACAGGUCACAAGCUGAGGCUUGCAACUGGCACCUAAAGUAAGCGGGGCCAGUCUUUGAGACUGAGCCCUCAACCUGUGGGAUCUGAUGCUACUUCCAGGAAGAGUGUCAGAACAGAAGUGAAUUAGAGGACAGCAGCUGGUGUCUGCUGCAGACUCAGUGGCUUUCUUGCUGGCAGGGAGCAGUCUUCACACACCCGCAUCACAGAAGUGGCCUGUGUUGAGUAGAAGAAACUGAGCUAGUUCUUCCUCUGGGUCUCGAGAAUCAUCAAAACAAGGAAAGUCUAAGAAAGUGUCAUGGCUGAGAAAAGUCUGAGGAGUCAUGACACCUCAAUUUAAUGCAUCCUGGAUGCCACAGUCAUGCAAAAACCACAACAAAAAAACUGAUGCCAGAAAAAUAACCUGUAGUUCUUUGAUAGUUUGGAGAAACACGUUUAAAUAGCUUUUUUCCAGGGCAGAAAUCCAGUUAUUUGUACUUUGCUCAAUUGUAUAUAUGUAACAAUUACUAACAGCUGGGACCCAUGAAUAGAAAAAAGCCAUUAGGUAAAAACUAAGGAAAUCUGAAUAAACAAUGGGCUUUAUUACAUGGCCAUGUAUCAGUACUGGUUCAGUAAUUGUGAUAAAUACAGCAUGCUAAGUAAGAUGUUCGUAAUGGAACACCAUGUAUAUGCUCGCUUAAUACCAGAUAGUUUAAGUAUCCCUAAAUCCCAAACCCGUCAACAUCUGAAACUUGUUGAGUGCUGACAUGAUGCCACAAGGGGAAAAUUCCACACCUGACCUCAUGCGAUGGGUCACAGUCAAAGCACAGAUGCACUAAAAAUUUUGUGUAAAAUGACCUUUAGACUAUGUGUUUAAGGUGCAUAUUAAACAUAAAUUUCAUGCUUAGUCUUGGGCCCCAUCCCCAAGAAAACUUCCCCAUAUAUUAUGCACAAGUAUUAAAGAAAUAAAAUACAAAAGUCUGAAAUCAGAAACACUUCUGGUCCUGAGCAUUUAAAAUGAGGGACACUUAGCCACUCAGCCCUCAGCUACACAGUGGCAGCUCUCGCAUAUCUGGGACCAGAGUAAGAACGAUGAUGUCUGAUGCAUCAACAUGAAGCUUCAGUUUGGGCCUUUUUUUUUUUUUUUUUGGUACCAGAGAUUGAACUCAGGGGUACUCAACCACUGAGCCACAUCCCCAGCCCUAUUUUGUAUUUUAUUCAGAGACAGGGUCUCUGAGUUGCUCCGUUCAUCAAUUUUGUUGAGGCUAGCUUUGAACUCUAGAUCCUCCUGCCUCAGCCUCCCCAGGAGGUGGGAUUACCAGCUUGCACCACCACUCCUGGCAAGUUUGGGCCUAUUCUUUAACAUCCCUUCUAGCUUCCUCAUUCUGGUUGGGACUGUACUCAGGGGUAGAGAGCUUACCUAACAUGUUCAAUUCUCAGGUACCAUAAAAAGAAAAAAAUCACAGACUUCUUUACCUCUCCUUUUAACAGAUCUCAGCCUCAGACCAUUCUGUAGACAAUAGCAUCCAGGACAAAUAUAACAGUAUUUUUUGUUUUACUUUCUUUUAUUUUGUCAGUAACAUUUUAUUUAUGAAAAAUAUGCUAGGUUUCCAUUUAUAAUAACAAUAGAAUGUUUCCUUGGUAAAUAAAUUUGGUUAAGCUGGGCAUGGUAGAACAAACUUGUAAUCCCAGUGACUCAAGAGGAUGAGGCAAAAGAAUCGCAUGUUCAUAGCCAGCCUCAGCAACUUAGGUAGACCCUGUCUCAAGAUAAAAAAAAAUAAAAGGGGCUGGGGAUGUGACUCAGUCGUUAAGCACCCCUGGGUUCAAAUCCCAAUACCCCCACACCCCAAUUUUUAAAAAUUUGGUUAAUAAUAUUAAAUGAUCACUUUCACCCUGAUAUAGAAAAAAAAAGCCAUAAGUUUGCAUACAGUUUGAUGUUGCAUGAUGGUGAACACAUUGUUGCUGGUAGGAAUAAAAGUGGGUACCCUCUACCAAAUUUGUAAAUACAUAUACUCUUUUACUG